This 465-nucleotide ribosomal RNA is filed under the name Vreelandella stevensii. Its description in RNAcentral is "partial 16S ribosomal RNA". It matches the Rfam family "Bacterial small subunit ribosomal RNA", at positions 338 to 795 of the family's 1533-position model. The record is from RNAcentral. Lineage: Bacteria; Pseudomonadati; Pseudomonadota; Gammaproteobacteria; Oceanospirillales; Halomonadaceae.
CAUACGUGCGGCAGCAGUGGGGAAUAUUGGACAAUGGGCGAAAGCCUGAUCCAGCCAUGCCGCGUGUGUGAAGAAGGCCUUCGGGUUGUAAAGCACUUUCAGUGGGGAAGAAAGCCUUGGGGCUAAUACCCUCGAGGAAGGACAUCACCCACAGAAGAAGCACCGGCUAACUCCGUGCCAGCAGCCGCGGUAAUACGGAGGGUGCGAGCGUUAAUCGGAAUUACUGGGCGUAAAGCGCGCGUAGGCGGUCUGAUAAGCCGGUUGUGAAAGCCCCGGGCUCAACCUGGGAACGGCAUCCGGAACUGUCAGGCUAGAGUGCAGGAGAGGAAGGUAGAAUUCCCGGUGUAGCGGUGAAAUGCGUAGAGAUCGGGAGGAAUACCAGAGGCGAAGGCGGCCUUCUGGGCUGACACUGACGCUGAGGUGCGAAAGCGUGGGUAGCAAACAGGAUUAGAUACCCGAGUAGUC